UCAAGUUAUUAAGGGUGCAGGGCGGAUGCCUUGGCACUAGGAGCCGAUGAAGGACGUGAUAAGCUGCGAUAAGCUUCGGGGAGUUGCACGUAAACUUUGAUCCGAAGAUUUCCGAAUGAGGAAACUCACUUAGAGUAAUGUCUAAGUAUCAUUAAGUGAAUACAUAGCUUAAUGAGGGGAACUCAGGGAACUGAAACAUCUAAGUACCUGAAGGAAGAGAAAGAAAUUCGAUUCCGUAAGUAGCGGCGAGCGAACGCGGAUUAGCCCAAACCAAUAAAGUUUUCUUUAUUGGGGUUGCGGACAUAUCAUAACGGAGAGGUAUCGUAAUUGAAGAGGUUUGGAAAGACCCACCACAGAAGGUAAUAGUCCUGUAUGUUAAACGAGAAUACUUUAGAUAUGAUCCAGAGUACCACGGGACACGUGAAACCCUGUGGGAAGCAGGAGGGACCACCCUCCAAGGCUAAAUACUACCUAGUGACCGAUAGCGUAUAGUACCGUGAGGGAAAGGUGAAAAGAACCCCGGGAGGGGAGUGAAAUAGAACCUGAAACCCUGCACUUACAAGCUGUGGAAGCACAUUUCUUGUGUGACCGCGUACUUUUUGUAGAACGGGCCAACGAGUUACGUUAAGUAGCAAGGUUAAGCACUUAAGGUGUGGAGCCGUAGCGAAAGCGAGUUUUAACUGAGCGUUCAGUUACUUGACGUAGACCCGAAACCGGGCGACCUACCCAUGAGCAGGAUGAAGCGAAAGUAAAAUUUCGUGGAGGUCCGAACCCACGAGCGUUGAAAAGCUCGGGGAUGACUUGUGGGUAGCGGUGAAAUUCCAAUCGAGCCCGGAGAUAGCUGGUUCUCCCCGAAAUAGCUUUAGGGCUAGCCUCAAGGUGAGAGAUACGGAGGUAGAGCACUGAAUGUCCUAGGGGGUAUUGCACCUACCGAAGACUAUCAAACUCCGAAUGCCGUCAUCUUAUACUUGGGAGUCAGACUGUGGGUGAUAAGAUUCAUAGUCGAAAGGGCAACAGCCCAGAUCGUCAGCUAAGGUCCCUAAAUGUAAGUUAAGUGGUAAAGGAUGUGGGAUUGCACAGACAACCAGGAUGUUGGCUUAGAAGCAGCCACUCAUUCAAAGAGUGCGUAAUAGCUCACUGGUCGAGUGAUCCUGCGCCGAAGAUUUCCGGGGCUAAAACUUACUACCGAAGCUACGGCAUCAGUAAUGAUGGGUAGGGGAGCUUCCCAUACGGGUUGAAGCAUGACCGUAAGGACAUGUGGACAGUAUGGGAGUGAGAAUGUUGGCAUGAGUAGCGAGAUGUGGGUGAGAAUCCCACAGGCCGUAAACCCAAGGUUUCCAGGGGAAGGUUCGUCCGCCCUGGGUUAGUCGGGACCUAAGCUGAGGCCGAAAGGCGUAGGUGAUGGACAACAGGUUGAUAUUCCUGUACUACCGAUAACCGUUUGAGAGAAGGGAUGACACAGUAGGAUAAGCUAAGCACACUGUUGGUUAUGUGUGCCCAAGCAUUGAGGCAGUCAAAGUAGGCAAAUCCGCUUUGAUAAUGCUGGGAUGUGAUGGGGAGCGAAAUUUAGUAGCGAAGUAGCUGAUUUCACACUGUCAAGAAAAGUCUCUAUCGAGGUUAAAGGUACCCGUACCGCAAACCGACACAGGUGGGUGAGGAGAGUAUCCUAAGGCCAGCGAGAGAACUGUUGUUAAGGAACUCGGCAAAAUGACCCCGUAACUUAGGGAUAAGGGGUGCCACCAUCAGGUGGCCGCAGAGAAUAGGCCCAAGCGACUGUUUACCAAAAACAUAGGUUUCUGCUAAGUCGCAAGACGAUGUAUAGGAGCUGACGCCUGCCCGGUGCUGGAAGGUUAAGGGGAUCUGUUAGAGCAAUCGAAGCAGUGAACUUAAGCCCCAGUAAACGGCGGCCGUAACUAUAACGGUCCUAAGGUAGCGAAAUUCCUUGUCGGGUAAGUUCCGACCCGCACGAAAGGCGUAACGAUUUGGGCACUGUCUCAACAACAGACUCGGUGAAAUUGUAAUUCCGGUGAAGAUGCCGGAUACCUGCGACAGGACGGAAAGACCCCAUGGAGCUUUACUGUAGCUUGACAUUGGGUCUUGGUACUACAUGUACAGGAUAGGUGGGAGGCUUUGAAACCAGGACGCCAGUUUUGGCGGAGCCAUCCUUGGGAUACCACCCUUGUAGUACUGGGACUCUAACCAUAGGCCAUGAAUCUGGUCUUGGGACACUGUCAGGUGGGCAGUUUGACUGGGGCGGUCGCCUCCCAAAAGGUAACGGAGGCGCUCAAAGGUUCUCUCAGUACGGUCGGAAAUCGUACGUAGAGUGUAAAGGCAAAAGAGAGCUUGAUUGCAAGACAUACAGGUCGAGCAAGGAUGAAAAUCGGACUUAGUGAUCCGGUGGUUCUGCGUGGAAGGGCCAUCGCUCAACGGAUAAAAGCUACCCUGGGGAUAACAGGCUUAUCUCCCCCAAGAGUCCACAUCGACGGGGAGGUUUGGCACCUCGAUGUCGGCUCAUCACAUCCUGGGGCUGUAGUAGGUCCCAAGGGUUGGGCUGUUCGCCCAUUAAAGUGGUACGCGAGCUGGGUUCAGAACGUCGUGAGACAGUUCGGUCCCUAUCCGUCGCAGGCGUAGGAAAUUUGAGAAGACCUGUCCUUAGUACGAGAGGACCGGGAUGGACGUACCUCUGGUGUACCAGUUGUCCUGCCAAGGGCAUGGCUGGGUAGCUAUGUACGGAAUGGAUAAGCGCUGAAAGCAUCUAAGCGCGAAGCCAACUUCAAGAUAAGAUUUCCCACCGCAAGGGUAAGACCCCAGAAAGACUAUCUGGUUGAUAGGUCGAAGGUGUAAGUGCAGCAAUGUAUUUAGCUUAUCGAUACUAAUAGGUCGAGGACUUGACCAA
This 2896-nucleotide ribosomal RNA is filed under the name Clostridioides difficile. RNAcentral's name for it is "bacterial LSU rRNA". It matches the Rfam family "Bacterial large subunit ribosomal RNA". Lineage: Bacteria; Bacillati; Bacillota; Clostridia; Peptostreptococcales; Peptostreptococcaceae. The record is from RNAcentral.